UGCGGAUUCUCGAAGUGCCCAAGCUGAAG
This 29-nucleotide non-coding RNA is filed under the name Cricetulus griseus (Chinese hamster). The record is from RNAcentral. Lineage: Eukaryota; Metazoa; Chordata; Mammalia; Rodentia; Cricetidae.